Molecule: non-coding RNA, 841 nt
Organism: Salvia hispanica
Lineage: Eukaryota; Viridiplantae; Streptophyta; Magnoliopsida; Lamiales; Lamiaceae
Source: RefSeq, a predicted model, not a curated record
UAUACCCAAGGGGGGAGAGAGGGUGUUCGGCCUUUCCAUGGACGGAGAAACUGUGAAGUUUCAAUAUGAGCAACAUGUUCAAUUUUUUCGUCGAAAGCUCGAUCCGAUCACGUUAAUUUUAAUAAAUUGAAGGAAGAGAUGAGUCGUCGGCGGACGAGGGGCCAUCGCGGUUCCAAUAAGGGACAUUGAGUGAUUAAUAGUGGCAGGCAAGAAGGUCAUGAAAGACUAUCGCGAUUACUUUUGUGAGCAUCCCGUGUAUCCUGCAAACUUAUUUCGUACAAGAUUCCACAUGAGUCGUGCUCUUUUUAGCUGAAUUGUUGAAGACACGGUAUCUCACAAUGCGUAUUUUCGCCAAAGAUGUGAUGCUACCGGUCUUCCCGGUUUGUCCUCUCUUCAGAAGGUCACGACAGCCACAAAGAUGCUUGCCUAUGGCCAACCAGCGGAUUCUGUAGAUGAAUAUGUUAGAAUCGAAGAGAGUACUACAUUAGUUUGUUUGAGAGAGUUCGUGAAAACAAUUGUGGAGGUAUAUGACCCACAAUACUUGAGGGCUCCAAACGGCAAUGAUAUAGCUCAACUACUAGCACUUGGCGAACAACGUGGGUUUCCAGGUAUGUUAGGAAGCAUUGAUUGAAUGCACUAGAAGUGGAAAAAUUGUCCAACUGUGUGGCAAAGUAUGUAUACUGGCCAUUGUCAAAUGACUCAACUUUAUUUUACCCAAAUAAUACCCGCAAGUGUACGGGGUUAUCGUAGCAAAUAGCAAGCAAGAGUAUAUAGUAUCCCACAGAGACAAUUAAGUGUAAACUUAAGUACUAUGAACAAAUUUCAACUACUAUCCAGACAA